ACUUUACUCCAAACUUCUUUCGGACUUCUAUAGUAACUAGACUCCAUCCAAGUUUCUACGAUGAUCGACUGCCUAUCGGAUUUCAUCCGAACUCCUACAAGGUCUGGGCUCCGUCCAAACUUCUAUGACGGAUGGAUUCCAGAUGAAUUCCUACAAAAACUGGAUCUCUACCCUGAACUUCUAUUACAGGUGGACUUCAUUCAAACUCC
Molecule: long non-coding RNA, 209 nt
Filed under: Elaeis guineensis (African oil palm)
Lineage: Eukaryota; Viridiplantae; Streptophyta; Magnoliopsida; Arecales; Arecaceae
Description: long non-coding RNA (EGUI_LNC052587)
Source: RNAcentral